UGAGGAUGAGGAGAUGCCUCUUGAAGUUCAGAGGAAUUUGGUUCAGUAUUCCUUGUUUGUCACUAGUAUUUUGGAAUGUGAAGAGGAAAAAGGUUUACUCUAUAUCUUCAAUGUGGAACUUACAAAUGAAGUUUCAAGGUGCUCUGAAUAAAGCAUGCAAAAGGUUCAAAUCCUCCCAAGGGCUUCAAUCUGGUGGAUCAACUUUUCCAUAUUCAUAGAGAGUGAGAGUUUCUGAAUAAUGAUGUGCUUUCUAAAAAAAUGCAAAAGGAGUUUGUAAGAGAAAUGGGGUGGAAGAGUGUUUGAUCUUUUAUGGAAAAGUGGUAGGAUUAGUGGGAUGAUGAUCGGGCUUCACUAUUAGAAGUUGUAGAGGAGAACUCACCUUCGGAGAGAGAGUAGGGCAGAAACUCACUACUAGGAGCUAUUGCUUGUACUUUUGGACUACCUAGGAAUUUGGGAAAACAUGGAAGCUAGUGAUUUCACUUAAAGGUUGGGAUUGGUCA
Molecule: long non-coding RNA, 500 nt
Organism: Carya illinoinensis
Lineage: Eukaryota; Viridiplantae; Streptophyta; Magnoliopsida; Fagales; Juglandaceae
Exons: 2
Source: RefSeq, a predicted model, not a curated record